GAAGAGCACGAACUCCUCCCGGCUCCCUGCAAAGCCCGGGCGCCUAUCCUCACCCCGCCUCUCCCUUCCCAAGGCGGGCUUCAAAGGAGUGACAGCAAAGCGCAGCUCGCAGCUGCGUUAGGACACCCGUGUUGACGGAUCUGCACUAGCGAGUGAAUUUAUCUACCCGUGAAUGCAGAUAAGCAGGCACUUCUUUAUUAUGCAGCGCUGGGGAACACAGAGGGUAUCUCCUCCAAUUGUGCUCCGGUGUUAGUUACAGCUUUCAAGGGCUUUAUACAUUUGCCAACAAAAAGCAUGGAUGAAAUGUCCAUAUUUUAAUUUGCCCUUUAUCUUGAUUGGUUCCUAACUACUAGAAAACUUCUUAGUAUCAUAGUGAUUGGUUAAAUGCUUAUAGAAAGAGACCAGUCCACUCGCCCCAUCCACCUACAUUGGCAACAGCUAAGUUUUUCCUAACAAACACCUGCACCAGGUAUCUUGUGAUUAUCACAUAUGGAAAACUAAAGUAACAAUAGUUAUUGCAUUAAGCGCUUCUUUCAUAGUUUGCCUCACUGUUAAAGGUCGUGUCGCUAUGACAGAGGAAUCAGAUCACCUGGCAAACACUAUGAAGAAAAUGAAGAAAGACCACUUUUUUGCAACUCUUGCUGUUUUUGCAAUUUAAAGGAGUACUUAAUCGUCACGUGAUUAAACUAUUUGCAAGUGCUUAGCUAGUUAAUUAAAUUAUUAGUAAGUGCUUAACAAGUGCUUAGCUAGUUAGUGUGGUGUUAGGUUAUUGACUAAAACAAUGGUUUAUCUGCAACACCCGGACCUUGCCGUCUAUUCAGCGACCCUGAACACAGCGGGGAGGAGGAACUGCGCGGGGAGCGGCCCCUGCUCCGAGGCGGAAGGGUGGGACGUCCCGCCUCCGCCUGCACCGGCCCUCGCCGGCCUCGGGGAAGUGCUGGUGGCGCUGCGGCACGCAGGGGAGAGAUGGCGUCGAGAGCGGACGGAGGUGCUGUGUCGGUACCAGCACAUCUGGAAUGUUGAUCUGCACUUUCGUCCAGCUUUCCUUGGUGGCAUAAUGCAAGCAACUGGUAACAAGCCCCCAGCAAUGUUGCCAAAGCGUGGAGAAUACCUCUUGAAGGAUAUAAAACGGAUGGCAAAAUACUACCAAGUGCCUGUACAAACUUCAGAAAAUAUCCUCGAACAUAUCAAGGGUACAAGCAGUCUUGGAGCCAUGCGCUUUAUCACAGCCAUUGAUAUUACACAACCACAGUACUUGGAACCCUUGUCUAGGGAGUUCUGGAUACGUUUCUGGUCACAGCAGGAAGAUAUCAGUCAGCCAGAGAAUAUAUUGACUGUUGCUGGACGCGCUGGGCUAUCAUCAGAGCUUGCCCAGAAACUACUUGAAAUGAUUUCAUCCCCUGCAGUGAAGAACCGACUGAAAGACACAACAGAAGAAGCAAUAAAAUAUGGGGCCUUUGGGAUGCCUGCUAUUGUGGCACACUUUAACGAGAAACCUCAUCUCUUUUUUGGCUGUGAUCGUUUAGAACUGCUAGCCAGUGUUAUAGUGAGGAGGUGCACAGGAAGCUGGGAGAAAGAAUGGCCAAGACAGCUGACCUAAACCAGCCAAAGGGCUAUUCCAUACCACAGAACAUCGUGCCCAGUACCUAAACUGGGGGAAGCUGGCUGGAAUGGGCAGAUUGCUGCUUGGGCAUUGGUGAGGGGGUGUUGGGAGCCAGGUAGUGGUGGCUGCAUGGUGCUUAGUUGAUGGCUGAUGUUAAACCACAACAGUCACUAAUCCUAAUUGGAAUGUGAUGGCCUGUUUUCUAGUCUCAACUCCAAGGACUUCAACAGAUUUUCCUUUUGUUUCUCUGACUCCCCUGCCUUCCACUCUUCUUACUUCAGCCCCUCAAAAAGGUAGUCCUAAAAAGCAAUGGCUUUACCCUCAUGUGGAGUGCCCCAGACCUGCAGAAUCUCUCAUCUGUGACAGAGGAAAAGAAUUAUUUUGUUUAGUUACAACUGAAGCUGUACAGGGAAGGAUUUACGGAGCUGGCUGAAGGAUGAUAAGAUAUAAACCUCUAGUUACCCUUACCAUCUGUAGUUACCCUACAAAAGAGGAAUAGAAACAGUCAUCUUAUUGCAAAAAUGUGACUGGCCAAUAACCUUUAUAUAUUAAAAUUUAACCUUCUCUUUUGUGCUGGUUUGUC
This is an RNA transcript of Colius striatus (speckled mousebird), 2186 nucleotides long. It is a transcript of the gene named glutathione S-transferase kappa 1, with no coding region annotated. The transcript has 9 exons. The record is from RefSeq and is a predicted model, not a curated record. Lineage: Eukaryota; Metazoa; Chordata; Aves; Coliiformes; Coliidae.